Molecule: non-coding RNA, 537 nt
Organism: Pelobates cultripes (western spadefoot toad)
Lineage: Eukaryota; Metazoa; Chordata; Amphibia; Anura; Pelobatidae
Source: the annotation of a GenBank genome assembly
GUUAUGUGAACUUUAAAGGGACACUAAUCACCACAACAACUACAGCUUAUUGAAUUUGUUCUGGUGAGUAGAAACAUUACCUUCAGGCUUUUUGCUGUAAACACUGUCUUUUCAGAGAAAAUGCAGUGUUUACAUUACAGCCUAGUGAUAACUUCACUGGCCACCCCUCAGAUGUCUAUUAGAGAUCCUUCCUGGGUCAUGGCUGCCUAAAAUGCAUCCAAACAUUCAGUAUCUCCUCCCUCUGUAUGCAGACACUGAACUUUCCUCGUAGAGAUUCAUUGAUUCAGUUCAUCUCUAUGAGGAGAUGCUGAUUGGCAAGGGCUGUGUUUGAAUUGUGCUGGCUCUGCCCCUGAUCUGCCUCCUUGUCAGUCUCAGCCAAUCCUAUGGGGAAGCAUUGUGAUUGGCUCAGAAUAACACUUCUGAUGAUGUCAGCAGGCCGUGGGCAGGUCUACAGGAAAUAGGGACAAAGCCUGCAGCUCCAGACUUGAAUACAACUAAGAUUUUACUAUAUUAGGGGGAGGCAAGAGGGGCCAUGGG